RNAcentral lists this long non-coding RNA (1167 nucleotides) under Phasianus colchicus (ring-necked pheasant). RNAcentral's name for it is "lncRNA (ENSPCLG00000007751.1)". Lineage: Eukaryota; Metazoa; Chordata; Aves; Galliformes; Phasianidae. The record is from RNAcentral.
AUUAAAAUUAUCCUCAUCUCUUAUGGCUUUUUUUCUAUCUCUCUUUUUUUGCACAAACUGUGCUUACCCUUACUUUGUGUACAAACAAGGGUGAUACCCAGCAAUCUGAUAAGCCCUUAAGAUAUUUAUUUUAAUAAACUGACUUUUCACUUCUGAAGAUUGGAGAGUCAUCUGAGGGCUGAGAAAACCUUAACAGAUUAAAAGGAGCUUAGAAAUGUUUCAGUUUGGAUUCAUUAAAUACUUUACAUGUAUGAAAGACUCCUCUGCUGGUUUUUCCAUUAGCACCGACACAACAAGCUGUAUUCUGGAGCUGCUUUUUAUCAGGAAUGCUUCUGGUGUUACAAACAUCCAUCUCAGCAGUGUGACGAUAAGUGAUCUCUGCCACAUGGCCUACUUCCAUUCCUAGUGCACAUCAAGGUGGGCUCCAUGAUGCAUGUGAGGUCUCAUUAUAGCAGGGUAGAAGGGCAGAAUCACCUCCCUUGACCUUGUGACCAUGCUUCUUUUGAUGCAGCCCAGGAUACGGUUGGCUUUCUGGGCACAUUGCUGGCUUGUGUCCAGCUUGUCAUCCACCAGUACCCCCAAGUCCAUUUUGGCAGGUCUACAGAGGGUCUCACACGAAGGGAGAGGGUGAGGGUUGAAGAGGAAAAGCAGGCAAAAUUACUUUCUGAUAGCUGCCUCUCCCAGGUGGAAUUGGAUUAAAUCACUUGUGAAUAUUUCAUAGUUAGCAGCUGAAAGGCAUCUAGGAAAACAAUUAAAGUCAAUUAGCAGAAGAUCUGAGCAUUCUGCUUCUCAGUUUGCUAAAACAAGCCAUUAGUUGUACUAAUGUUUUAUGGGAGGAAAGAAAAACAAUAUGCUUCUUCCUACUGGUAAUAGGAAGGAAAUUCAGCUACAAUUUUGUCAGCAUCACUGGUAAUUACAGAGUGUUUUUCUGUCAGGCUGGUUUACCUUCUCUUGGUGCAGAGUUCUUCUCAUCCAAAGGCAGAAAAAGGCUUCCACAACCCCCUGUGUUAUGCGGGACUUCAGCCUACUCUGGAUGUGAUAUGUGGUUUAAGAAACCAAAGCAGACAGGCAUGCCUGAGCCCUGCCAAAUCAUGCAAACAAAGGAAAAGAUUGCUUGCUUUCCUCUCCCCUUUCCCUCUGGAGAUCGCAGUGCACCAGGAUAAAAAC